Molecule: long non-coding RNA, 669 nt
Filed under: Malus domestica (apple)
Lineage: Eukaryota; Viridiplantae; Streptophyta; Magnoliopsida; Rosales; Rosaceae
Description: long non-coding RNA (MDOM_LNC014285)
Source: RNAcentral
CAAUUAAUAGAAAAAUUCCGAGCAACAAUUGAAAUUUAUGCAACUGAUGUUAAUGAAGCUCGGAAUGGGGAGAAGAGAUUCGUACCAAAAAGAGGUCGAGUCGUGGUCAGAGUUGGUCGGAAAACACUUGCAAAAAUAGUGAUCCUCGCUGGAAAACUGGGAAAUGGCUUCCCGAGUUGUUUAUGCGUCCAACACGUGAUUAUCACUUUAAAAACUAUUCUAAUCUAACAUUAAAAUACGAUCUAAAGGGUUCUAGGGACUUACCUGGAGAUGGCGAAAACUCCUUGAGGGUUCAUCAGGAAGAGGAUGAACAGUGGCCUCUGUCAUUGUCAGAGUCCCAAGGCCUUGGCUUGGGUUGUUGGAGUUUUUGAGCUCCUUUAGUCCCACAUCAGGAAACUCAAGGGAACUUGAGGUUCUUAUAUUAAGUUAGUCACCUUUAUUAGUGAUUAGGUGUUGGACCAUUUAGAAUGAGGAUUGAGGUUUGAGCCACUAAUUGUGUGGAUUAAGCUUGAUGAUUAUACCAUAAUAUUAAUAUAAAUUAAUAUUAAUUAAUCAAGACAAGGGCCCUAAACCAUGGGCCUUGGGGCCUAAGAAUUAAAAUUAAUCAGAUCAUUAAUUUUAAAUUCGAAUUAAGUUUUUAAUGAAAAUUAAUUCAAAAUGUUUUGAUUA